UACGUAGGGCGCGAGCGUUGUCCGGAAUUAUUGGGCGUAAAGAGCUCGUAGGCGGCCUGUCGCGUCCGCUGUGAAAUCCCGGGGCUCAACCCCGGGUGUGCAGUGGAUACGGGCUGGCUGGAGGCAGGCAGGGGAGAACGGAAUUUCUGGUGUAGCGGUGAAAUGCGCAGAUAUCAGGAGGAACACCGGUGGCGAAGGCGGUUCUCUGGGCCUGUUCUGACGCUGAGGAGCGAAAGCGUGGGGAGCGAACAGG
RNAcentral lists this ribosomal RNA (253 nucleotides) under uncultured bacterium. RNAcentral's name for it is "partial 16S ribosomal RNA". It matches the Rfam family "Bacterial small subunit ribosomal RNA", at positions 524 to 776 of the family's 1533-position model. The record is from RNAcentral.